GACGAACCUUGCUAACGUUAUUCGGAAUUACUGGGCUUAAAGGGUGCGUAGGCGGUGCAGAAAGUUGGGUGUGAAAGCCCUCGGCUCAACCGAGGAAUUGCGCCCAAAACUACUGCACUAGAGGAAGACAGAGGUACGCGGAACUUAGGGUGGAGCGGUGAAAUGCGUUGAUAUCCUAAGGAACACCGGUGGCGAAAGCGGCUCACUGGGUCUUUUCUGACGCUGAUGGACGAAAGCUAGGGGAGCGAACGGG
This 253-nucleotide ribosomal RNA is filed under the name uncultured bacterium. RNAcentral's name for it is "partial 16S ribosomal RNA". It matches the Rfam family "Bacterial small subunit ribosomal RNA", at positions 524 to 776 of the family's 1533-position model. The record is from RNAcentral.